UCUUCAUCGUGAAAGAAACGGAAAAGAAGGAGAUCUCUCCCUCUCACGCGGAUCGCUCUCUCUCAAUUGCGUCUCUCUUCCAGUCUCUCGCUCUCUCGAUUCGGUAUCAACACAACAAUAACAACAACCGAAACUCCCUUCUCUCGAUGCCAUCACAAUUCAAACUCAGACACAAACAAACAAAAACAUCAAAAAGAAACCUAACCCCCAAAGUAAACCCAAUAAGCCCAAAUUCAAUAUGUUCUUCAGACUACAAAUUAUAAAUUACAUGGAAAUCAAAGAAAAUGAUUAAAGACAAAUGAUCAGGGAAAAAAGAGAUACGAUGUCGACGACGAGAAUUACAUCCUUUCGGCGAAUCUACUCAGGUUUUGGUAUGCCAUGUUUGGGAAAUAUUUGGACUCUUGUGUGCAGGUCUGUAUGGAGCAGCAUAGUGGCAGAUUUCUUGGACAGAAGCGGUGGAGUAGCAACAUGGGAUAACAGCAAGAUGAAGACAAAUUUUUUUGUUUCAAAUUCUGUACUAUUUUGUUAUAAAAAAUGGGCUUAAGAACAAAAUGUAAAUGGGCCUCAAUAUAUAAAACUCUUUUUUUUAUA
Molecule: long non-coding RNA, 591 nt
Organism: Vicia villosa (hairy vetch)
Lineage: Eukaryota; Viridiplantae; Streptophyta; Magnoliopsida; Fabales; Fabaceae
Exons: 2
Source: RefSeq, a predicted model, not a curated record